RNAcentral lists this non-coding RNA (114 nucleotides) under Williamsia sp. Its description in RNAcentral is "SAM-IV sequence". It matches the Rfam family "SAM (S-adenosyl methionine) riboswitch aptamer". From Rfam's summary of the family: SAM-IV is a mRNA element that regulates gene expression via direct sensing of S-adenosylmethionine (SAM or AdoMet). The record is from RNAcentral. RNAcentral also lists the same sequence under 1 other name. Lineage: Bacteria; Bacillati; Actinomycetota; Actinomycetes; Mycobacteriales; Nocardiaceae.
GGUCACGAGUAUCAGCGCACAGCCCCGGCUUGCUGAUCGGCAACCCUCCACCGCGGCGGGGUGCUCCGGGUGAUGACCUGGCCGGCUGGAACCCUCAGUCGGCAAGCGCGGACC